This 1363-nucleotide ribosomal RNA is filed under the name unidentified marine bacterioplankton. RNAcentral's name for it is "bacterial SSU rRNA". It matches the Rfam family "Bacterial small subunit ribosomal RNA", at positions 9 to 1371 of the family's 1533-position model. The record is from RNAcentral.
GAGUUUGAUCAUGGCUCAGAUUGAACGCUGGCGGCAUGCCUUACACAUGCAAGUCGAACGGCAGCACGGGUGCUUGCACCUGGUGGCGAGUGGCGAACGGGUGAGUAAUACAUCGGAACAUGUCCUGUAGUGGGGGAUAGCCCGGCGAAAGCCGGAUUAAUACCGCAUACGAUCUACGGAUGAAAGCGGGGGACCUUCGGGCCUCGCGCUAUAGGGUUGGCCGAUGGCUGAUUAGCUAGUUGGUGGGGUAAAGGCCUACCAAGGCGACGAUCAGUAGCUGGUCUGAGAGGACGACCAGCCACACUGGGACUGAGACACGGCCCAGACUCCUACGGGAGGCAGCAGUGGGGAAUUUUGGACAAUGGGCGAAAGCCUGAUCCAGCAAUGCCGCGUGUGUGAAGAAGGCCUUCGGGUUGUAAAGCACUUUUGUCCGGAAAGAAAUCCUUGGCUCUAAUACAGUCGGGGGAUGACGGUACCGGAAGAAUAAGCACCGGCUAACUACGUGCCAGCAGCCGCGGUAAUACGUAGGGUGCGAGCGUUAAUCGGAAUUACUGGGCGUAAAGCGUGCGCAGGCGGUUUGCUAAGACCGAUGUGAAAUCCCCGGGCUCAACCUGGGAACUGCAUUGGUGACUGGCAGGCUAGAGUAUGGCAGAGGGGGGUAGAAUUCCACGUGUAGCAGUGGAGUGCGUAGAGAUGUGGAGGAAUACCGAUGGCGAAGGCAGCCCCCUGGGCCAAUACUGACGCUCAUGCACGAAAGCGUGGGGAGCAAACAGGAUUAGAUACCCUGGUAGUCCACGCCCUAAACGAUGUCAACUAGUUGUUGGGGAUUCAUUUCCUUAGUAACGUAGCUAACGCGUGAAGUUGACCGCCUGGGGAGUACGGUCGCAAGAUUAAAACUCAAAGGAAUUGACGGGGACCCGCACAAGCGGUGGAUGAUGUGGAUUAAUUCGAUGCAACGCGAAAAACCUUACCUACCCUUGACAUGGUCGGAAUCCCGCUGAGAGGUGGGAGUGCUCGAAAGAGAACCGGCGCACAGGUGCUGCAUGGCUGUCGUCAGCUCGUGUCGUGAGGUGUUGGGUUAAGUCCCGCAACGAGCGCAACCCUUGUCCUUAGUUGCUACGCAAGAGCACUCUAAGGAGACUGCCGGUGACAAACCGGAGGAAGGUGGGGAUGACGUCAAGUCCUCAUGGCCCUUAUGGGUAGGGCUUCACACGUCAUACAAUGGUCGGAACAGAGGGUUGCCAACCCGCGAGGGGGAGCUAAUCCCAGAAAACCGAUCGUAGUCCGGAUUGCACUCUGCAACUCGAGUGCAUGAAGCUGGAAUCGCUAGUAAUCGCGGAUCAGCAUGCCGCGGUGAAUACGU